AAGCGUACACGGUGGAUGCCCUGGCAGUCAGAGGCGAUGAAGGGCGUGCUAAUCUGCGAUAAGCGCCGGUAAGGUGAUAUGAACCGUUAUAACCGGCGAUACCCGAAUGGGGAAACCCAGUGUGAUUCGUCACACUAUCAUUAACUGAAUCCAUAGGUUAAUGAGGCGAACCGGGGGAACUGAAACAUCUAAGUACCCCGAGGAAAAGAAAUCAACCGAGAUUCCCCCAGUAGCGGCGAGCGAACGGGGAGGAGCCCAGAGCCUGAAUCAGCAUGUGUGUUAGUGGAAGCGUCUGGAAAGGCGCGCGAUACAGGGUGACAGCCCCGUACACAAAAGCGCAUGUGCUGUGAGCUCGAUGAGUAGGGCGGGACACGUGGUAUCCUGUCUGAAUAUGGGGGGACCAUCCUCCAAGGCUAAAUACUCCUGACUGACCGAUAGUGAACCAGUACCGUGAGGGAAAGGCGAAAAGAACCCCGGCGAGGGGAGUGAAAAAGAACCUGAAACCGUGUACGUACAAGCAGUGGGAGCACCCUUUGGGUGUGACUGCGUACCUUUUGUAUAAUGGGUCAGCGACUUAUAUUCUGUAGCAAGGUUAACCGAAUAGGGGAGCCGGAGGGAAACCGAGUCUUAAUUGGGCGUUAAGUUGCAGGGUAUAGACCCGAAACCCGGUGAUCUAGCCAUGGGCAGGUUGAAGGUUGGGUAACACUAACUGGAGGACCGAACCGACUAAUGUUGAAAAAUUAGCGGAUGACCUGUGGCUGGGGGUGAAAGGCCAAUCAAACCGGGAGAUAGCUGGUUCUCCCCGAAAGCUAUUUAGGUAGCGCCUCGUGAAUUCAUCUCCGGGGGUAGAGCACUGUUUCGGCUAGGGGGCCAUCCCGGCUUACCAACCCGAUGCAAACUGCGAAUACCGGAGAAUGUUAUCACGGGAGACACACGGCGGGUGCUAACGUCCGUCGUGAAGAGGGAAACAACCCAGACCGCCAGCUAAGGUCCCAAAGUCAUGGUUAAGUGGGAAACGAUGUGGGAAGGCCCAGACAGCCAGGAUGUUGGCUUAGAAGCAGCCAUCAUUUAAAGAAAGCGUAAUAGCUCACUGGUCGAGUCGGCCUGCGCGGAAGAUGUAACGGGGCUAAACCAUGCACCGAAGCUGCGGCAGCGACACUGUGUGUUGUUGGGUAGGGGAGCGUUCUGUAAGCCUGUGAAGGUGUGUCGUGAGGCAUGCUGGAGGUAUCAGAAGUGCGAAUGCUGACAUAAGUAACGAUAAAGCGGGUGAAAAGCCCGCUCGCCGGAAGACCAAGGGUUCCUGUCCAACGUUAAUCGGGGCAGGGUGAGUCGACCCCUAAGGCGAGGCCGAAAGGCGUAGUCGAUGGGAAACGGGUUAAUAUUCCCGUACUUGGUGUUACUGCGAAGGGGGGACGGAGAAGGCUAUGUUGGCCGGGCGACGGUUGUCCCGGUUUAAGCGUGUAGGUGUGUGUUCCAGGUAAAUCCGGUUCACUUUAACACUGAGGCGUGACGACGAGGCACUACGGUGCUGAAGCAACAAAUGCCCUGCUUCCAGGAAAAGCCUCUAAGCAUCAGGUAACAUCAAAUCGUACCCCAAACCGACACAGGUGGUCAGGUAGAGAAUACCAAGGCGCUUGAGAGAACUCGGGUGAAGGAACUAGGCAAAAUGGUGCCGUAACUUCGGGAGAAGGCACGCUGACACGUAGGUGAAGUGAUUUACUCAUGGAGCUGAAGUCAGUCGAAGAUACCAGCUGGCUGCAACUGUUUAUUAAAAACACAGCACUGUGCAAACACGAAAGUGGACGUAUACGGUGUGACGCCUGCCCGGUGCCGGAAGGUUAAUUGAUGGGGUCAGCGCAAGCGAAGCUCCUGAUCGAAGCCCCGGUAAACGGCGGCCGUAACUAUAACGGUCCUAAGGUAGCGAAAUUCCUUGUCGGGUAAGUUCCGACCUGCACGAAUGGCGUAAUGAUGGCCAGGCUGUCUCCACCCGAGACUCAGUGAAAUUGAACUCGCUGUGAAGAUGCAGUGUACCCGCGGCAAGACGGAAAGACCCCGUGAACCUUUACUAUAGCUUGACACUGAACAUUGAGCCUUGAUGUGUAGGAUAGGUGGGAGGCUUUGAAGUGUGGACGCCAGUCUGCAUGGAGCCGACCUUGAAAUACCACCCUUUAAUGUUUGAUGUUCUAACGUGGACCCGUUACCCGGGUUGCGGACAGUGUCUGGUGGGUAGUUUGACUGGGGCGGUCUCCUCCUAAAGAGUAACGGAGGAGCACGAAGGUUGGCUAAUCCUGGUCGGACAUCAGGAGGUUAGUGCAAUGGCAUAAGCCAGCUUGACUGCGAGCGUGACGGCGCGAGCAGGUGCGAAAGCAGGUCAUAGUGAUCCGGUGGUUCUGAAUGGAAGGGCCAUCGCUCAACGGAUAAAAGGUACUCCGGGGAUAACAGGCUGAUACCGCCCAAGAGUUCAUAUCGACGGCGGUGUUUGGCACCUCGAUGUCGGCUCAUCACAUCCUGGGGCUGAAGUAGGUCCCAAGGGUAUGGCUGUUCGCCAUUUAAAGUGGUACGCGAGCUGGGUUUAGAACGUCGUGAGACAGUUCGGUCCCUAUCUGCCGUGGGCGCUGGAGAACUGAGGGGGGCUGCUCCUAGUACGAGAGGACCGGAGUGGACGCAUCACUGGUGUUCGGGUUGUCAUGCCAAUGGCACUGCCCGGUAGCUAAAUGCGGAAGAGAUAAGUGCUGAAAGCAUCUAAGCACGAAACUUGCCCCGA
This 2764-nucleotide ribosomal RNA is filed under the name Salmonella enterica subsp. enterica serovar Enteritidis. RNAcentral's name for it is "partial 23S ribosomal RNA". It matches the Rfam family "Bacterial large subunit ribosomal RNA". Lineage: Bacteria; Pseudomonadati; Pseudomonadota; Gammaproteobacteria; Enterobacterales; Enterobacteriaceae. The record is from RNAcentral.